This 1175-nucleotide long non-coding RNA is filed under the name Oryza sativa (Asian cultivated rice). Its description in RNAcentral is "long non-coding RNA (OSAT_LNC000081)". The record is from RNAcentral. Lineage: Eukaryota; Viridiplantae; Streptophyta; Magnoliopsida; Poales; Poaceae.
GCCGUCCACUGGCUGCGCCACUCCCUCUACGAUGUCACCGGCUCCGACUCCAACACGCUCUGGCUCAUCCAGAGGUACUACACUUUUCUUCUCUCUUCCCUUGUCAACUCGGGACCCCCCGGAAUCAUGGCUACUUUACACCCUAUACUUCUCAUUGACAUUGUGACCUAGUAGUAUACUCUAUCUAUGCAUCAUCAUAUCAGUGGUUAGUAGUACUAGCCCUAGAUCACCAUAGGAUGAUUAAGGAGGAGUAAAAAAAGAUUUGCGUUUUGGAGCCCUAAGGCCAGUCACAAUGGGGGUUUCACUGGUGUGUCAUGCACAUUUAAUAGGGGUAAGACUGAAUAAAAAAUGAUUAUUUGCAUGAAAUGGGGAUGAGAGAGAAGGAAAGAGUUUCAUCCUGGUGAAACUCGUCAGCGUCGUUUCCAAGUCCUCGGUAACAGAGUGAAACCCCCGUUGAGGCCGAUUCGUUUCAUUCACCGGAUCUCUUGCGUCCGCCUCCGCCGUGCGACCUCCGCAUUCUCCCGCGCCGCGCCGGAUUUUGGGUACAAAUGAUCCCAGCAACUUGUAUCAAUUAAAUGCUUUGCUUAGUCUUGGAAACGUCAAAGUGAAACCCCUCCACUGUGGGGAUUGUUUCAUAAAAGAUUUCAUUUGAGAGAAGAUGGUAUAAUAUUUUGGGUAGCCGUGCAAUGACACUAGCCAUUGUGACUGGCCUAAAAGUAUGUCAUUAUGGCCAACUUUUUAGGCUUAGAAAGGUUGCAACUUUCUAGUGGUUCUGUGGUAUCAAGCUUCUCCAUGGUCUUUGGUGAUCCGAGAAGUGGGAAAGAUUUCUCCUCCAUUUGGUUUGUGGAUCACUAUGAACGAGCUAAAAGUUCUUAUCAUCAUGACCAACUUUUCAUGCCAAAAGGUCUCAGCUUUCUAGUUCUAAGUGCCACCAAUGUUGAUUAUUAAAUUGAAAUGGCUGCAAUCUAUACACAGUUCAUACUAGAGAUCACAUAGUAGUGGACUGCAAUAGAUAUGUCCCACUGUACUUGCAAAAACCAUGAAGGCAAGGCAACCAAUUUAGGUGUCCUUGAGAACUUAUUGUUAUCAUUUAUAGUUCUAAAUGUUGCUAGUUGAGUCAUUCUUGUCGAACAGAAUCAUAAUUAAUUUGUGUACUGAUCUUGACUCUGUGGACC